UGGGGAAUAUUGCACAAUGGGGGAAACCCUGAUGCAGCGACGCCGCGUGAGCGAGGAAGUACCUCGGUAUGUAAAGCUCUGUCAGCAGGGAAGAAAAUGACAGUACCUGACCAAGAAGCCCCGGCUAACUACGUGCCAGCAGCCGCGGUAAUACGUAGGGGGCAAGCGUUAUCCGGAUUCACUGGGCGUAAAGGGAGCGCAGGCGGCACGGCAAGUCUGAUGUGAAAACCCGGGGCUCAACCCCGGGACUGCAUUGGAAACUGCCGGGCUGGAGUGUCGGAGGGGUAAGCGGAAUUCCUGGUGUAGCGGUGAAAUGCGUAGAUAUCAGGAGGAACACCGGUGGCGAAGGCGGCUUGCUGGACGACAACUGACGCUGAGGCUCGAAAGCGUGGGGAGCAAACAGG
RNAcentral lists this ribosomal RNA (404 nucleotides) under uncultured bacterium. Its description in RNAcentral is "bacterial SSU rRNA". It matches the Rfam family "Bacterial small subunit ribosomal RNA", at positions 355 to 776 of the family's 1533-position model. The record is from RNAcentral.